Mauremys reevesii (Reeves's turtle) is the source of this 2359-nucleotide long non-coding RNA. RefSeq lists it as uncharacterized. NCBI's taxonomy places the organism in Eukaryota, Metazoa, Chordata, Testudines, Geoemydidae. The record is from RefSeq and is a predicted model, not a curated record. The transcript is spliced from 3 exons.
UGGAGAUAAGCUUUAGAGGAGGAGCUGUAAGAAACUAUUCAAGUUCUGCUCUAAACAGGCUAGAUCACGGCUCACACUAUUCAGCCACACAGGAUCAUAAUGGGAGUCAGACCCCAUUCUGUACACCUUCCCUGGACCUUGGAUCCAGGCACUUAGGGAUAAAGAGGUACUGAAUAAUCAUACAAUAUUUUCCUGAGCUUAAUGGAGCAGGAGACCCUGGUGAAUUCUUCUGAUCAUUCCACAGGCAGUCCUUAAGAAGAGCAAAAUCCUGAUGCUACUUGCCAGCAGCUGUCUUACAUCCUCAUCCCUUGAGCCACCAGUUCCUCUGCCUGGUCCUGCCUUGCAGAAAGACAACUCCAGGAGAAUAUUUCUUUAAAUUCAUCUCAGAAACACAAGAUACCAGAAUCCUUGCAGUACUGAACAAAGCUACAUGCAUUCUCCUGUCUACCUUGCUUAUCAGGCUAGAUAUUUAUAAGGCCUUCAUCACUACAGUACCUGAGUGCCGCUAUAGUAUUUGAAUGCCUUCACAGCACUUACAGUUCUGGCUGGUUGUGGCCUAUGCAGCAAGCAUGGCAAUGUAGGAAACUGUGCAUAAGUUGAAGUCUUGAUUUAAGUGGGGUUGUAUGGGUAUAAGUGAGGGCAUCAUAUGAUCCGGGAUCCUUUCAUUACCUAUCUAAGAUAGGACUAGAUUCUGCUUAUGGGUCACAGAGAGUAAAGGAAUCCAUCCUCUUUUGCACAGCUUAUAUAAGAGCCAGAUAAAAUUGCAAUCCCUGCGCUGAUUGCUCCCUAAUUACUCUUCUGGAGCUGCAUGGGAAUUAAAAAUGGAUGGGGAGAGCGGGAGAGUAGGCCAAGUGAUGGCUAUAUUCCUCCUGUAUAUCAACAAGAAAUAUAAAUCCUGUAAUCAUAGACCUCUCAACCUGACUUCAGUUCAUGGCAAACUACUUAAUAACUAAGUUGAACAAUCUGUGUGUAGACACACGGUUCUGAGCAGAUGCACCUGAUGCGUUACAGACAACAUAGUUUGGUAAGAACUGAGCUUCACAAAUCUAACUGCUCUGUAUAAUGAGAGAGUGGGUGGGCCUAAUUUAUCUAUGUUUUGGCCAAGUCUUUGAAACUGUGGCACACAGAAAUCUCACAGCAAAACUGAAGAUAUUUUGUCAGGAUAAUAAUAAAAGAAGGUGGCUAAACAAUGCAUGGUGGAUUGAGAGCAACAAGCUAUUACCAAUGGUGUUCCAUUAGAACAGAAGGAGGUAUCUAGUUGACUUCCAUAUAAGAUCAAUUCUGGGACCAAAAUUACUAAAUUUACAGUUUGUAACAUUUGUGAGACGAAUGUACUUUAUACUGAACAGCAAAGAAAUUUGCAGAAGAUAUAAAGAGGCUGGCGCCUGUGAAAAUGAAGAAGAAUAGCCAGUGGAGAGGAAGGGGCAUCAGUUGUUUCCCAGCUAGAAAAAUCCCCAGACUACAAGGAAAACAGCCAUACAAAUGUACCUCCCUCUCCACUCUUUAUCCUAACAGGCCCUCGGCCUCUUUAAAAUUCACUUCAAAUCACCUGAAAAUUCACUUGCUGUUAAAUGCCAGAUAAAAAGGAUCACUUGAACAUCCAGUUAACUCUAACCCUUUACACAAAACUGACACAGUUCAAAAAAUCUCACAUAAAGCUCAAAAUGUAUUUUUUUUGCCUGUAUUAGAAAUUCAGGAUUUGAUCCAUAGAAGAAGUUCAAAGAAAGGCAACUAAACUUAUGUAAGACCUAGAAUGACCUACAAGGGCAGAUUAAGGAACUAAAUUUGAUGAGCUGAAACAAUUAUUUUUCAAGCUGGUAUGGUAACACUAACUAUUUGAGGGGAAUUAGAACAGAAGACGGGAAAUAACUCCUACUCCUUGUUAAAACAAGGAGAAAUUGACUGAAAUUGCAAAGGCCACAUUUAGUUAGUUGUAAGGAAAUGCCUUUGAUAGUAAGGUUCAACAAAAAGGAGAACAAUUUGCCUAGUCAGGUAAUUAGGCUAAAAUCACUAGACAUGUUUAAGGAAAGGUUUAUUAAAUGACUAAUAUCCCCUAGGUUCCUUCCUGCUUGAGGCAAUAGGCUGAACAUAAUGAUCCAGUGAGUCCUUUUCCAGAUCUUCUGUACAGUUAGCCAAAAAGAUUUUUGAUGGAACAGUUUUCCAUUGGAAAAUGAAAUGUAGUUAAAAUUGAAAUGUUACACAAGAAUGGGCACACCCAGAUAUUUUUCACAUGGUACACAUCCCCUCUCCCUUUCCUCUUCCCCUCUCAGGUAUUCCCACCGCUGCCAGCCUGACCUUACUGGCCCAUGAACACCUACACCCAUCCCCUCCCAGGAUCCUCCCAGGACAUUGAAUUCUC